AAAGCUGAAACUUAAAGGAAUUGACGGAAGGGCACCACCAGGAGUGGAGCCUGUGGCUUAAUUUGACUCAACACGGGAAACCUCACCCGGUCCGGACACUGGAAGGAUUGACAGACUAAAGCUCUUUCUUGAUUCAGUGGGUGGUGGUGCAUGGCCGUUCUUAGUUGGUGGAGUGAUUUGUCUGGUUAAUUCCGAUAACGAACGAGACUCUCGCCUGCUAAAUAGUUUUCCAUACGUUACCUUAUGGAACCUAAACUUCUUAGAGGUACAAGUGGCGUUUAGCCACACGAAACAGAGCAAUAACAGGUCUGUGAUGCCCUUAGAUGUCCGGGGCCGCACAUGUGCUACAAUGAAUGCAUCAACGUGUAUCAGCCUCGCCCGAAAGGGUUGGGGAAUCCGCUGAACGGCAUUCUCAGUAGGGAUUGGGGAUUGCAAUUAUUUCCCAUGAACACGGAAUUCCCAGUAGGCGCCAGUCAUCAGCUGGCGUCGAUUGAGUCCCUGCCCUUUGUACACACCGCCCGUCGCUACUACCGAUCGCUCUUGUUAAUGAGCUUGUCGGAUUGGACCCGGUGAGCAGUCGUUGCGCUCCAUCUCCUCGCGGGGUGGGCCUUCGUCUGCGAGCUUUGGUGUAUGCCGAGAAGAUCGGCAAAUUAUCUGGAGUAGAGGAAGUAAAAGUCGUAACAAGGUAUCCGUAGGUGAACCUGCGGAUGUCCACCACCACCGUCCAGUUAUACUGGAUACUGGGUACGGACGUCCGCCUGGGUGCUUCUCGGUAACAAGGAAAAGCCGCCGGGUGGCGAGUUGUUGACCUAGCCCUCGGA
Molecule: ribosomal RNA, 821 nt
Filed under: Tridacna sp. ET781
Lineage: Eukaryota; Metazoa; Mollusca; Bivalvia; Cardiida; Cardiidae
Description: bacterial SSU rRNA
Rfam family: Eukaryotic small subunit ribosomal RNA (bases 1-716)
Source: RNAcentral